AGGGCUUGCAUUAUCCUAGACAAGAAUAAAGUGAGGCAAAAGACUUAACAAAACAAUAAAAAAAGAAAUCAUAGUGAGUAGCAUUAGCAUUGAAAUAAAAUACUGAGAUAGAAGGAUGAGAGAAUUAAUGAAGAAGAUUACAAGGCAUUUGGUACUUAUAAGAUUGUGUCACGGACACAGAAAUAUAAACUCGAGAUCUAACAAGAAGUUCAAGAAGAACUGGCAAGAACUAGAUUAAUCAGAUGAAUACAAGAACAACACCAGAGAGGUGAGCUAGAGCUCGAAGAGAUGUAUUGUCGAGACUGAAGAACUCUUCACCCUUGAUUCCAAUAUAUACUCCUAUUUAGGAAGCUUCUCAAGUAACUUCUAUUAACUAAGAAGCUUCUAGAAGGUUCCACAGACUUGCUUCUAGGAUGUUCUAGAAACUUGUCUCUAGAAGGUUCUAAGGACUAUGUCCCUAACAUCUUCUAUCAACUAAGAAGCUUCUAGAAGGUUCCAGAGACUUGCUUCUAGAAGGUUCUAGAAACUUGUCUCUAGAAGGUUCUAAGGACUAUGUCCCUAACAUCACCCCCUCCUUUGGCUUCGAGGUCUCUGAGAAGCAAUGUUCUUGUUAAUGAGUACCAACGCAAGAAAAUGAAGAUCUGUCGCAUAAUGUCUGCUAUCAACUCCAACUGUUGUUCAUGAGGCAAGUGGUUCAUUGGCCCUUGAAGCCAACAGUAGUAGCCCACUCCUUCAACUUCUGACCAAGCAUGAACUUUCGUGUCCUCAUUGUAAAAUUGUCCUGUAAAUACGCCUUCUGGCUGACCAUCGUAAGCAAGCUCGAACUCGAAUACAAUCACCAGUGAUCGGUUACUCGGUAUCCUUUGUCGUCGUCAUGGUGUAGGCGGUUCUUCAUCUCGGGGUCGCCUUCGUGAGCUAGUCGGUUGAGAUAAUCUGACUAGCAUAGUAUCUAUCUCUUGGCUAUCCAUAUCAGAAGACCAAACUAUGGCUACUGAAGAAAUUCUACUUUAUCGUGGAGAAAAUAACUACAUCAACUGCAAAUUUUGGUGGUGCUCUCCUCCUUUUUUAUAUUCUUAGGUGAGCAAGCUUUAGAAGGAAGCUAUCGUCGAACUGGCUUAGGUUUAUGAGGAUGUUGUUGAUGAAACUCCUGUACCUUGUGCGGCACAUUGGUGAGAUUUUCAGCUGGCUCCCAUGUUCGCUCAUUAAUGUCGUAGCUGCACCAAUGACCAAGAUACUCCAACUUGCCCUACCUUUGCCGUGAAUCUAGCACCUUUUCAACCUCGUAUUUCUCAUGGUUCUUGAUCUCAAUACUAGGUGGCGGUGUCGUAUUACGUGCUUUUCUGCUCGAGAAUGUGCCAAGCAUCUGGCUGUAGAAGGUAGUAUGGAGAUUCACUAAUAUUCAAGCAGUCUAUCGGUUUUUGACUGUUGGAAUACAAACGAUUGUAAGAAUAUAUCGAAAAUCUAUACGGAUGUCCUUCAACUGCUCGCCAAAAUCUUUUUUGUCCCAGCCGGUAGGUCUCUAGACGUUACAGAGAACCCCGAACAACCCGAUCUGCUAAUCUCCGAUACCGCUUUAAACUCACGACCUUGUAUCCACUAACUGUCUCGUUAGAUUAACCCAAUAAAUUUCAUUCACUCCGCAUAUUCAAUCCUAUAGACAUCCUUUUAAUUCUUCAAUCACAGACGUAACUUUGAUUUCACAAAACAGUCAAGAGUAAUCACACCCACUUCAUUAAAAUCCCGAUUCACUGGUACAAUACUGACUUCAGCAAUGAUUGUCUCAGUCUUCCCAAAACCUUAUGAAAAAAAAAAACCCCAAUCCUCUGUCUUUUUUCUCCGCCCGAGGCAUGAAGCUAGCUCUCUGACCCUUGAAAACCCCUUAUUCUCUCUCCUUCAUUUCUCAACCUAUCCUCCCCUUUAACCCUAAUUCUCCUUUCUUUCAAACCCUAGCCUCUAAAUUUCUUCAAUCUACUGUCUUGGAUCCGGAAUUGGCUCCGCCGUCCAAGCUUUCUCCUCCAUUUUUUGCCUUUUAAAAGGUUCUUUUUCCGGAAACAACGUUCCCUGAAACAGCACAGAGAACAGGACAUCCAGAAACGGAAUUGAAACCCCCGUAAUCGGGACCACAUUGAGUCGUCCGACCAAUUCAGGUCUCAUAUUGGCUAAGAGGCCCGUAGUAAGACCUGAAUGUUCCCGUAAUUGGAUCAAAUUGGUCCUUCGCGUCAGAUUGGCUAAGAGGCCCGCAGUAAGACCUGGAUGUUCCCGUAAUUGGACCGCAUUGGGUUACUCGACGAAGUUAGGUCUCAUAUUGGGUAAGAGACCCGUAAUAGGACUUGGAUUGGAUGUCUUGAAAUUGGAUCCAAUUGGCUCUUCGAACCAGGCUCACCCGUCAUUAAAUUGGUCCUUUUCCUUUCUGCUGACUCCCGUUAUUGGAAUCAAAUGGAGCAUUUUAGUAUGCCCCGGUUGACUGUAACGGGGUGACUAAACCUGGCUUCUCAGUAUUUGUACUGGAAUUGGUCGUUGCUCCCAAUAUUCGAGGUAACUGAACAUUAAUAAAAGUCACAUUUCUUUAUAUUUUCAUGGUAUACUCGUGUUACAACACGACAGCGGACAUUGCACUCUUCCAGGAAAAGAUGACUCUCGAUAAGGCUCCAACAAAGAAACAUGAAAGACUGUAUAUACCUUCUUAGAAGCCGAUAAUUUCAAACGGUACGCCAUUGGAUUGAUUUGCUUCUGGAUGAUAAAUGGUCCCAAUCUUCGAUAGUCCAACUUAUCACAUGGUCGCUUGGUCUUGAUAUUCCGUCGAAGAAGCCAUGUUUUAUCUCCAAUUUUGAAAGUAGGUGCUUGAUUCCGAAAUCUAUCUGCAGACACCUUGUAGGAUUCUUGAACGGAUUGUAAUUGAAGCUUCAACGUAUUUUGAAGCUCUGAUAGUUGUUUCGCAAAUCCUUCAGCUACUGGAUUGUUAUUUGUUGAUGGACUCAAUAAAUCAAGCUUCGGAUGAUACCCAUAGUUGGAAAAGAAUGGUGUGUAUUGAGUCGACGCAUGGAGGGUGUUGUUAUAUGCAAACUCGGCUAGCGACAGAUAUGUGGUCCAAUCAUCUUGCUGAUAAUUGAUGCUGCAUCGUAAGUAUUGUUCCAAGACUUAGUUCAUCCGUUCCGUUUGGCCGUCAGUUUGAGGAUGAAAAGCCGAAGAAAGCUUGAUAUCCACCUUCAGUAUCUCAAAGAGAGAUCUCCAAAAGUUUGAUAUGAACUGGGUUCCUCGAUCUCAUAUGAUAUCAUCUAGUAGUCCAUGAUAUCGAUACACAUUAUCGAGAAAGAGUCUUGCUAUGACUUCACUGGACGAUGUCUUCUUGCAAGGGACAAAGUGUGCCAUCUUUGUAAGUCGAUCUACCACGACAAAGAUGCUGUCAAAUGAGUUCGAUGAUAGUAGGUCCAUGAUGAAGUCCAUGAAAAUUGAAGACCAUGGUCAACGUGGAAUCGGCAAUGGCUGUAGGAGUCUAUAAGAGCGAUGCCGAGGAUUCUUGGAUCUUGAACAGAUGUCGCAGGAGAAGACAAAAUCUUUCACAUCCUUCCACAUUUGGGGCCACCAAAAAUCUCGAGAAAUAAGCUCCAAGGUCUUGUUGAAUCCAAAAUAUCCCGCAAUUGGAAAAUCGUAGCGAGAUUGAAGAACUCGAAGUCGUGCUGGUCCUUUUGGGAUAUAUAACUGCUCCUCAAAGUAUAAAAGAUCUCCCUCCACCUUGAACUUGUCGUCAUUGGCACAUUGCUUAAUAUCAAUGGCUACUGAAUCUUCAAUGGUUGCGGCACAUACCUGAUUCAGGAAGUCAGCAUCAAUUGGCACAAUAGUAGCACAAAGCUGAAAUUGCUCUGGCUUCAACAAUGUCGUACAUUGUUGAUCAAACACUGCUUCUUCAGCCUUUGGUACAAGAUACGAUCUCUUCGAUAAGGCAUGAGAUAGUCCUUGCUGCUUUCCAGGUCGAUAAGUGAUAACAAAAUCGAAUCUAGAUAGCAACAUACUCCACCGAGCUUGACGUCGAUUUAGAACUCGAGCCGACAUAAAAUACUCCAAAUUCUUGUAAUCUGUGUAUACGGUCACUGGAUGUGCAGCUCCUUCAAGAAAGUGAUGCCAUUUUUGGAAAGAAUCCACUAUAGCAAGAAGUUCUUUAUCGUGGAUCUCAUAAUUGAUUUCAGCAGCAGAGAACUUUCGAGAAUAGAAUGCAACCGGAUGGAGCUUCUUGUCUUCUCUCAUUUGUGAAAGUACAGCUCGCAAAGCAAAAUCCGAAGCAUCAGUUUGUAAAUUAAAGGCCUUUGUAAAGUCUGGAUGUACCAAGAUUGGAGCCGUAUUAAAUGUGGUCUUCAAGUCUUGAAAGGCCUUUUCCGCUAGAGGUCUCCAUUUAAGCUUAUCCUUGCAUGUCAACCGAGUGAGAGGAGCAGCAACUUGAGAGUAAUUCUUGAUGAAGAUCCAAUAGAAGUUGGCAAAACUAAGAAAGCAUUGUACAUCUCUAACCGACUUUGGAACCUCCCACGACACGAUUGCUUCCACCUUCUUGGGGUCCAUCUUCAAGCCUUCCGUAGUCGCAACGAAUCCCAAAAAUUCCAUCUCUAUUUAGUGAAAUAAACACUUCUCCAACUUGGCAUAUAGUCCUCGCUAGCGUAGUUUCUCCAAUACCAAAUGAACGUGUUUUUCAUGCUCUUCCUCAUUUUUGGAGAAUAUCAAAAUAUCAUCCAAAUAGAUGACAACAAAAUCGUCAAGGUGCUCUCGAAAAAUGUCAUUCAUCAUAUGUUGAAAGACCGCUGGAGCAUUGGUAAGACCAAAGGGCAUGACAUUAUAUUCAAAAUGGCCAUACCUUGUACGGAACGCUGUCUUUCACUCAUCUCCUUCCUUGAUUCGUACGAGGUUGUCAGCUCCCCUUAGAUCAAUUUUUGUAAAGAUCCUUGCAUGUCCCAGUUGUUCUAAGAGACCAGAAAUCAAGGAUAAUGGGUAACGAUUCUUCUUUGUUACCUUGUUGAGGCCUCGAUAGUCCACGCACAUCUGCAACGAGCCAUCUUUUUUCUUGACAAAUAAGAUGGGUGCUCCAGCUGACGAUUUUGAAUGACGGAUUAAGUUCUUGGCUAGAUUCUCGUCGAUGUACUUCCGCAAUUCUGCCAACCCCGUCUGCGAUAGAUUGUAGAUUGGGCCAAAAGGCGGUUGUGCUCCUUCCUACAAGUCUAUGGCAUAAUCAUAUGGUUGGUAUUCUGGUAGCAUGUCGGCAUUCUUCUUUUGAAACACGUCUUUAAAAUCCUUAUAUUGCUCAGGUAUACUUGUUGUCGAGAUCUUCUCCCCGGUAGUUGGAGCCGCAUAAAUGACAAACGGUGUGCCUUCCUUAGACAAUCUUAUAAACGCUCUUGCUCCAAUGAAUAAGAAUUUCUUUAUUCGGGGUUUUCUACUAGGCUUGCUCUUGGGUGGUUUUGUAGGAAAGGUCAUCUUUUGCAACCUCCAAUCUAUGGAUGGGUUAUGCUUUUCCAACCAGGAAAGACCAAGAAUAACAGGAUUUGAUGGGGUUCUAAUAAUAUUGAAAAUAAUAUGACUACUAUGGCCCUUAAACGUCACUUCUAUAGGUUUUGAUUCAUGGGUGAUACUACCAAACAAUAAAGGUCGCCCAUCUAUGACCUCAACGUGAACAGGUUUGGAUUUUUGUACUAAAGGGAUCUUAUGACACUUCGCAAAUUCUUCCUCUAAGAAACAAACAGAUGCUCCUGAAUCUAAUAAUGCUAAGGUUCUCAGUUUCUCAGGGCCAAUAAGCAAAGGGAUUGUAAAGCAAAGGGCAGGUUGAGUAGAAAGAAAGGAAGCUGAUUGUUGUUGUGAUAUUUCACUGUCUAGGCGCAUGGUUCCUUUUGUGGCUGGGCAUCCUCGUUUUCGUAAACAAAUGCGCCCAUAGUCUUGAAAAUACGUCGAUUUUGCUUCUUGAGGCAGUUUCCAACUUUGUGGCCUUCUUCACUGCAAUACAAGCAUAGACCUUCCUCCAUACGCCACUUUUUCUCUUUUAGGGUAAGGGAUUUGACACGUACUGCAUCAAUUUGCAUGUCUUCUAUCUCUGAAUGUGAAUUGACGUUGCUUGCUGACAUAGUUGGGACGUGACGAACCAUAUGUUGACUUGAAUGUUGGUCUUAGCGGCGUUGGAAUAGGCGAUUAUUACACUUCACAGCUUGGCUAAUAGCUUUGUUGAGCGUUUGUGGAUCAGGAAGAGUUAACAGCAAAUCUUUCACAUCAUCCCUUAAACCCCAAUAGAAUUGAUUCAUCAACGCUUCUUCAUCCCAAUUGAUGUCGCAUGCUAAUUACGAUAAGUCCGAUGCAUAGACUAAUGUAGAGUGCAUCCCUUGUCGUAGUGACCGGAUCUUUGUUGUAGUCCAUCGAACCUUGUCAUGUUCACCAAAUGCUUCCGCAAAUACCUCGAAAAAGGUUUCAAAGUUGUUUAAUAUGGACGAUCGUUUUUCAAACAAAGGAGCAAACCAUGAUAGAGCUUCUCCUGUAAGUAAGGUUCCAACAAGCCCAACACGUGAUUCCUCCGUUGGAUAGCGUUCAGGUUGUAAAACUGUUAUCAACCUGAUUUGAUUGACGAAUCCUCGAAACUUGGAACGCUUACCAUCGAACUUGUCCGGAAGGCUAACUCGGGGCUCUUUAUGUUGUAGAACCAGCGGUGCUUGUCGAACUUGAGGCAAAGUUGCUUCUCCAAGUGUAGAAGUUUGAGGCUGGUGCAACCUAGAUUGUGCCAUCCCAAAUGCUCCAUCAUUAUGAAGCCUUGCCACGACUCCUUCAAUCUCUGCAGUUCUUUGUGAUAAUGUAGCGAGGGCAUUCAUGAUAGCAUCCAACUUGGACUCCAAACUUUCCGUCAUACUAAUGACUUGGCCUCCGGCCAUUCUAAAAGAAGGACAGAAAUGACUCUAUAAGAAGACAAUAUUGGUUUAGAGGAGGGUACUCUGCAACCUCUAAAAUACCUUACGAGCUUCAAGAAAAGGGGUAAUCCACUCUCUCCAAGAAGAAUAAGACUCCAAUAUUGUAACAAAAGAAGUAUCAGUUUAGAGGAGGGUAAUCCGCAACCUCUAAAAUGCUAGUACACUUCCAAGCAGAGGGGUAAUCCACACUCUAACGAGGAAGAAACUAACUCUGAUAUGUGAGGUGAGUAAAGUCUCGACAAACUAUCACGGACACAGAAAUAUAAACUCGAGAUCUAACAAGAAGUUCAAGAAGAACUGGCAAGAACUAGAUUAAUCAGAUGAAUACAAGAACAACACCAGAGAGGUGAGCUAGAGCUCGAAGAGAUGUAUUGUCGAGACUGAAGAACUCUUCACCCUUGAUUCCAAUAUAUAC
This 7341-nucleotide long non-coding RNA is filed under the name Physcomitrium patens. RNAcentral's name for it is "long non-coding RNA (PPAT_LNC007134)". The record is from RNAcentral. Lineage: Eukaryota; Viridiplantae; Streptophyta; Bryopsida; Funariales; Funariaceae.